Long non-coding RNA from Rhagoletis pomonella (apple maggot), 321 nucleotides. RefSeq lists it as uncharacterized. Lineage: Eukaryota; Metazoa; Arthropoda; Insecta; Diptera; Tephritidae. The record is from RefSeq and is a predicted model, not a curated record. The transcript has 3 exons.
ACGGCUGCGAAACUAUUUUCGCACACAGUUGCACAGGCCAUAACGAGGGCUGCAAGUUUGGGCCAUUUAGCAGAUAAAAACUGGAACGAAUGUUUCCAGCUCUUCAAAAUAACAAAUGACUGGUUUGAUGUGCUCAACGUGAGGGUGCCUCACGCUGACUCAAGGAAACGGUGUCACCCUUAUGGCUUAGCGAGGGAAGAGCAGGACAACAUUUUGGAUCAAUGACUGCUUUGGUUAAAACUAUGAGUGUAAUUGGAAGGCAGUCCCUUCUUCCAUUUCAGAAAGUCUGUUCCAAUAGCAGUCCGGUUUACAGGAUUUAGU